CCAGUCCUGUCAGGAGAGAGCCUCCCCCGCGGAGGCCGCCGAAGGCGCAGGACGGCUGAUUGCAGCGGUCUGAACGCUCAGGCAAAAGGACUGACAUCCGUUG
RNAcentral lists this non-coding RNA (103 nucleotides) under Curvibacter sp. RNAcentral's name for it is "Glycine sequence". It matches the Rfam family "Glycine riboswitch aptamer". From Rfam's summary of the family: This family represents the bacterial glycine riboswitch. The record is from RNAcentral. Lineage: Bacteria; Pseudomonadati; Pseudomonadota; Betaproteobacteria; Burkholderiales; Comamonadaceae.